Suillus weaverae is the source of this 82-nucleotide non-coding RNA. NCBI's taxonomy places the organism in Eukaryota, Fungi, Basidiomycota, Agaricomycetes, Boletales, Suillaceae. The record is from the annotation of a GenBank genome assembly.
GGGCACUUGGCACAGUUGGUAGCGCGCACGCUUCGCAUCAUUAGAUUGCGUGAGGUCGUGGGUUCAACUCCCACAGUGUCCA